Molecule: ribosomal RNA, 584 nt
Filed under: Epistrophe nitidicollis
Lineage: Eukaryota; Metazoa; Arthropoda; Insecta; Diptera; Syrphidae
Description: eukaryotic LSU rRNA
Source: RNAcentral
AGUACGUGAAACUGCUUAGAGGUUAAGCCCGAUGAACCUGAAUAUCCAUUAUGGAAAAUUCAUCAUUAAUAAUAUAAUAUUUUAAAAAUAUUAUAAAAAUAUUGUGCAAUUUUUCCAUAUAAGGACAUUGUAAUCUGUUAAUGUAAUAAAUAUUUAUCAUAAGAUCCAUUACUUAAGUUUAUUCAAAUUAGUUAUUUUCGGAUUUCUAACAUAGAAUAAAUGUUUUGGAUUUGAUAAAUCAUUGACAGAUAUAAUUAUAUAAUGUGCUGAAAUUCUUAAUUGAAUUUUAUAAUGAUAUUUAAAUCUAUUGAUUUAUUUAUUUAAUUAUAUGCACUAUUAUGAUUAACAAUGCGAUAGAUUCAGGAUACCUUCGGGACCCGUCUUGAAACACGGACCAAGGAGUCUAACAUAUGUGCAAGUCAUUGGGUAUAAAAACCCAAUGGCGUAAUUAACUUAACUUAAAUUAAAAAUGGGAUGAAUUUAUAUUUUGUAAUGAAAUAUUAAUGCAAUCCCGGGGCGUUCUAUAUAGUUAUGUAUAAUAAUAUUUAUAUUAUUUAUACCUCUAACUAGAGCGUACCUUGAGC